Lynx canadensis (Canada lynx) is the source of this 105-nucleotide small nuclear RNA. NCBI's taxonomy places the organism in Eukaryota, Metazoa, Chordata, Mammalia, Carnivora, Felidae. The record is from Ensembl.
GUGCUUGCUGGAGCAGCACAUAUACUAAUAUUGGAACGAUACAGAGAUUCACAUGGUCCCUGUGCAAAGAACACAUGAAUUCCACAGGAGUGAAAUCAUAUGGUA